Molecule: ribosomal RNA, 616 nt
Filed under: uncultured bacterium
Lineage: Bacteria
Description: bacterial SSU rRNA
Rfam family: Bacterial small subunit ribosomal RNA
Source: RNAcentral
GCUGGCGGCGUGCUUAACACAUGCAAGUCGACGAGAAAGGGGUAGCAAUAUCCCGAGUAAAGUGGCGCACGGGUGAGUAACACGUAAGUAAUCUACCUUUAGGUUCGGAAUAACUCCGAGAAAUCGGGGCUAAUACCGGAUGAUGCAGCGGAUCCACAUGGAUAUGUUGUUAAAGUCUAUACGACGCCUAAAGAUGAGCUUGCGGCCGAUUAGCUAGUUGGUAGGGUAACGGCCUACCAAGGCAACGAUCGGUAGCUGGUCUGAGAGGAUGAUCAGCCACACUGGAACUGAGACACGGUCCAGACUCCUACGGGAGGCAGCAGUGAGGAAUAUUGGGCAAUGCCCGAAAGGGUGGCCCAGCAACGCCGCGUGGAGGAUGAAGGUCGUAAGAUUGUAAACUCCUGUUAGAGGGGACGAAUAUCACCGAUCGACUCGGUGUUUGACUGUACCCUCAGAGAAAGCCCCGGCUAACUACGUGCCAGCAGCCGCGGUAAUACGUAGGGGGCAAGCGUUGUCCGGAUUCACUGGGUGUAAAGGGCGCGCAGGCGGGUUAACAAGUCAGAGGUGAAAUCCUACAGCUUAACUGUAGAACUGCCUUUGAAACUGUUAAUCUUGA